AAUGAACGCUAGCGGCAGGCUUAACACAUGCAAGUCGAGGGGUAUUGGUUUUCGGACCAAGAGACCGGCGCACGGGUGCGUAACGCGUAUGCAAUCUACCUUUUGCAGAGGGAUAGCCCCAGAGAAAUUUGGAUUAAUACCUCAUAGUAUAGUACUUUGGCAUCAAGGAACUAUUAAAGUCACAACGGCAAAGAUGAGCAUGCGUCCCAUUAGCUAGUUGGUAAGGUAACGGCUUACCAAGGCUACGAUGGGUAGGGGUUCUGAGAGGGAGAUCCCCCACACUGGUACUGAGACACGGACCAGACUCCUACGGGAGGGCAGCAGUGAGGAAUAUUGGACAAUGGGCGCAAGACCUGAUCCAGCCA
This 365-nucleotide ribosomal RNA is filed under the name uncultured bacterium. RNAcentral's name for it is "bacterial SSU rRNA". It matches the Rfam family "Bacterial small subunit ribosomal RNA", at positions 29 to 394 of the family's 1533-position model. The record is from RNAcentral.